GAAAAGAAACUAACAAGGAUUCCCCUAGUAGCGGCGAGCGAAGCGGGAAGAGCUCAAAUUUAUAAUCUGGCACCUUCGGUGUCCGAGUUGUAAUCUCUAGAAAUGUUUUCCGCGUUGGACCGCACACAAGUCUGUUGGAAUACAGCGGCAUAGUGGUGAGACCCCCGUAUAUGGUGCGGACGCCCAGCGCUUUGUGAUACAUUUUCGAAGAGUCGAGUUGUUUGGGAAUGCAGCUCAAAUUGGGUGGUAAAUUCCAUCUAAAGCUAAAUAUUGGCGAGAGACCGAUAGCGAACAAGUACCGUGAGGGAAAGAUGAAAAGCACUUUGGAAAGAGAGUUAACAGUACGUGAAAUUGUUGGAAGGGAAACGCUUGAAGUCAGACUUGCUUGCCGAGCAAUCGGUUUGCAGGCCAGCAUCAGUUUUCCGGGAUGGAUAAUGGUAGAGAGAAGGUAGCAGUUUCGGCUGUGUUAUAGCUCUCUGCUGGAUACAUCUUGGGGGACUGAGGAACGCAGUGUGCCUUUGGCGGGGGUUUCGACCUCUUCACACUUAGGAUGCUGGUGGAAUGGCUUUAAACGACCCGUCUUGAA
This 586-nucleotide ribosomal RNA is filed under the name Rhodotorula mucilaginosa. Its description in RNAcentral is "eukaryotic LSU rRNA". It matches the Rfam family "Eukaryotic large subunit ribosomal RNA", at positions 56 to 658 of the family's 3401-position model. Lineage: Eukaryota; Fungi; Basidiomycota; Microbotryomycetes; Sporidiobolales; Sporidiobolaceae. The record is from RNAcentral.